Molecule: ribosomal RNA, 492 nt
Filed under: uncultured bacterium
Lineage: Bacteria
Description: partial 16S ribosomal RNA
Rfam family: Bacterial small subunit ribosomal RNA
Source: RNAcentral
AGUGAACGCUGGCGGCAGGCCUAACACAUGCAAGUCGAACGGCAGCACAGUAAGAGCUUGCUCUUACGGGCGGCGAGUGGCGGACGGGUGAGGAAUACACCGGAAUCUACUUUUUCGUGGGGGAUAACGUAGGGAAACUUACGCUAAUACCGCAUAUGACCUCCGGGUGUAAGCAGGGGAACUUUGGACUUUGCGCGAUUGAAUGAGCCAAUUUAGGCUUAGCUAGUUGGCGGGGGAUAGGCACACCUCGGCGACGCUCCGUAGCUGGUCUGAGAGGGUGGUCAGCCAGACUGGAACAGAGACACAGUCCAGACUCCGACGGGAGGCAGCAGUGGAGAAUAUUAGGCGAGGGGCGCAAGCCUGAUCCAGCCAUACCGCGUGGAUGAAGAAGGCCUUCGGGUUGUAGAGCCCUUUUGUUGGGAAAGAAAAACAGCAGGUUAAUACCCCACGGUACUGACGGUACCCAAAGAAUAAGCACCGGCUAACUUCGUG